This 443-nucleotide ribosomal RNA is filed under the name uncultured bacterium. RNAcentral's name for it is "bacterial SSU rRNA". It matches the Rfam family "Bacterial small subunit ribosomal RNA", at positions 958 to 1398 of the family's 1533-position model. The record is from RNAcentral.
AACGCGAAGAACCUUACCUGGGCUCGAAGCGCAGUGGAAUCCGGUGGAAACAUCGGCGCCCCUUAAAAGGCUGCUGCGGAGGUGCUGCAUGGCUGUCGUCAGCUCGUGUCGUGAGAUGUUGGGUUAAGUCCCGCAACGAGCGCAACCCUUAUCGUCUGUUACUAACGCGUCAUGGCGAGGACUCGGGCGAAACUGCCUCGGAUAACGAGGAGGAAGGUGGGGAUGACGUCAAGUCCUCAUGGCCUUUAUGUCCAGGGCUACACACGUGCUACAAUGGUCGGUACAAACCGUCGCAAACCCGUGAGGGGGAGCCAAUCGGAAAAAGCCGGCCUCAGUUCGGAUUGGAGUCUGCAACCCGACUCCAUGAAGCUGGAAUCGCUAGUAAUCGCGGAUCAGAACGCCGCGGUGAAUACGUUCCCGGGCCUUGUACACACCGAGACGUA